ACUUAUUUUUGUACAAACAAUUUAACUAAAUUAUCCACAAAAAUGGCCGAUGAAGAUUUAUCACUAAAUGAAGAUCAACUCUUGGAGAAUUUGGAUGAGGCCAAUGGUGAAAAUGAAACAGAACUAAUAAAUGAGGAGGAUAACAAUAUGCAGAUUGAUCCCGAAUUGGAAGCUAUAAAAGCUCGCGUCAAAGAAAUGGAAGAAGAAGCUGAGAAAAUUAAACAAAUGCAGUCUGAGGUGGAUAAACAAAUGGCCGGUUCGACAACGGGCUUAGCUACAGUUCCCUUGUCGUUGGAGGAGAAACAGGAAAUCGAUACACGUUCGGUGUAUGUGGGUAAUGUUGAUUAUGGUGCAUCGGCUGAAGAAUUGGAGGCACACUUCCACGGCUGUGGCACAAUCAAUCGAGUGACUAUAUUGUGCAAUAAGGCUGAUGGUCAUCCCAAGGGAUUUGCCUAUAUUGAAUUUGGUUCCAAAGAAUAUGUUGAGACUGCAUUGGCCAUGAAUGAGACCCUGUUUCGUGGUCGUCAAAUUAAGGUUAUGUCCAAACGUACAAAUCGUCCUGGCCUCUCUACUACCAAUCGUUUCCCCCGUGGCAGUUUUCGUGGUCGUGGUGGUGCUCGUGUCUCCCGAGCAUGUUGUCAUACCACCACAUUCCGUGGCACCCGUCGUCCAAUGUAAGUAAGAGGUUAUCGUGGACGUGUUAAUUACUAUGCUCCUUACUGAUUAAUAUUCUUACCUACUUUUAAUGAUUUUUUUUACAAUAUAUAAUGAUUUCAAAAAACAUUAUAUGAUUGCCAUAAUUACACAAAAAUAUCUUCUUGAAAAUACACAAAAAAUAUAUAGAAAAAGAUCCGAUAUAUGAUAUAGAACUAGACAAAAAAUAAUAAAAAAAUGAAGAGGUGGAUAUGAGAUGCAAAAAAUAUAUAUAUCAAAAAAAAAUAAAGAUGAGCAACAAAAAAUAUGAAUAAUCCCUCUAAAAAAUGACAAAAAUAAUGAAAGAUGUGAAGAAGAAGAUGAGACUAAAGAGAACGUCUAUUGUUUCUAGUAGAUUACUAAAUAAAACAAAUAUAAAAGUGGCUAAUAAUGUUUUUUGAAUGAUCACCAAAUAAAAUAUAUCUAUAUAUAUACAUAUAUAUCUGUAAAACCUUUUUAUUUUAAAACCACAAACAAAAAACAAAAUACUAAUUGAAAAAAAAAACAAAAUAAAAAAGAUAAGAAGACCUAAAGGAAAAAAAAUGAUUGAAGAAGAAAGAAUAUUAAAAAAAAAUAUUUCAAAAAAGGACAUCAAAAAAAUAUUUUUUAAAAAAUGGAGUAAACCUAAAAAAUAGAAGAAAAGUAAUAAAAAAAUUUAAAAAAAACAUAAUACCAGAAGAUAAAGAAGAUACAAAAAAGAGAACCCAUCCAAAAAAAAAAGAAAUAAAAUUACAUCAAGAAAAAGGAAAAAAUGGAUAAAAAAGCACACAUAAAAAAAUGAACAAACAAUUUUUAUGAAAAAAAUAACAAUUAUACAUUGCUAUUAAAUUAAUAAGCUAAUUAUAAAACAAAAAAUAAAGAAUAAUAAAAAGAAAACAAUAGUAAAAUAAUAUACUAUUUAAAAAAAAACUAAA
Calliphora vicina (urban bluebottle blowfly) is the source of this 1607-nucleotide RNA transcript. It is a transcript of the gene named Pabp2, with no coding region annotated. NCBI's taxonomy places the organism in Eukaryota, Metazoa, Arthropoda, Insecta, Diptera, Calliphoridae. The record is from RefSeq and is a predicted model, not a curated record. The transcript is spliced from 5 exons.